UAUUUAUGGAAGCUGUUUCAGAGGUAUGUUAUUUGGAUAAUUAAACUGAUAGUUAGAUCAUUCCUAUCUUUGUUGUUUAAUUUUUUUUCAACUUGAGUAAUAGCUUACGUUGUCAAGCAAUAGCCCUCUGUUGCUUUGCACCACAUUUUAGAUUGAUAUGCUAUUGUGAAAAUUCAUGCAGCUUAGUUCCUCUCUUGAAUUAAAAAUUGAGUAUGUUUACUGGUCAUCACUUAAAUAUUUUAUAACUUCAUCUCUUGUGUCAAAUAAAUUAAUUACACGGUG
This 282-nucleotide unclassified non-coding RNA is filed under the name Hevea brasiliensis (rubber tree). The record is from RNAcentral. Lineage: Eukaryota; Viridiplantae; Streptophyta; Magnoliopsida; Malpighiales; Euphorbiaceae.